Molecule: ribosomal RNA, 411 nt
Filed under: uncultured Campylobacterota bacterium
Lineage: Bacteria; Pseudomonadati; Campylobacterota
Description: bacterial SSU rRNA
Rfam family: Bacterial small subunit ribosomal RNA
Source: RNAcentral
UGCCAGCCGCCGCGGUAAUACGGAGGGUGCAAGCGUUACUCGGAAUCACUGGGCGUAAAGCGCGCGUAGGCGGUUUAUUAAGUUGGAUGUGAAAUCCACUGGCUCAACCAGUGAACUGCAUCCAAAACUGAUAGACUAGAGUCUGGAAGGGGAAGAUGGAAUUAGUGGUGUAGGGGUAAAAUCCGUAGAGAUCACUAGGAAUACCAAAAGCGAAGGCGAUCUUCUGGAACAGUACUGACGCUGAGGCGCGAAAGCGUGGGUAGCAAACAGGAUUAGAUACCCUGGUAGUCCACGCCCUAAACGAUGAAUGUUAGUCGUCGGUUAGCUAGUCUAAUCGGUGAUGCACUUAACAGAUUAAACAUUCCGCCUGGGGAGUACGGUCGCAAGAUUAAAACUCAAAGGAAUUGGCGG